UAAUACGAGGGGGGCAAGCGUUGUUCGGAAUUAUUGGGCGUAAAGGGUGCGUAGGCGGUUCGGUAAGUCACCAGUGAAAUCUAUGGGCUCAACCCAUAGUCUGCUGGCGAAACUGCCGGGCUUGAGUAUGGGAGAGGUGAGUGGAAUUUCCGGUGUAGCGGUGAAAUGCGUAGAUAUCGGAAGGAACACCUGUGGCGAAAGCGGCUCACUGGACCAUAACUGACGCUGAGGCACGAAAGCUAGGGGAGCAAACAGGAUUAGAUACCCUGGUAGUCCUAGCCCUAAACGAUGACUGCUUGGUUUGACGGGUACCCAAUCCCGCCGAGCCGAAGCUAACGCGAUAAGCAGUCCGCCUGGGGAGUACGGUCGCAAGGCUG
RNAcentral lists this ribosomal RNA (377 nucleotides) under uncultured bacterium. Its description in RNAcentral is "bacterial SSU rRNA". It matches the Rfam family "Bacterial small subunit ribosomal RNA", at positions 521 to 896 of the family's 1533-position model. The record is from RNAcentral.